Molecule: non-coding RNA, 125 nt
Organism: Hordeum vulgare subsp. vulgare (domesticated barley)
Lineage: Eukaryota; Viridiplantae; Streptophyta; Magnoliopsida; Poales; Poaceae
Source: Rfam
AUAUUACUCCCUCCGUCCAGAAAUACUUGUCGUAGGAAUGAAUGUAUCUAGAUGUACUUUAGUUCUAGAUACAUCCAUUUAUAUCCAUUUUUGUGACAAGUAAUUCCAGACGGAGGGAGUAAAAU